Molecule: long non-coding RNA, 671 nt
Filed under: Mustela putorius furo (domestic ferret)
Lineage: Eukaryota; Metazoa; Chordata; Mammalia; Carnivora; Mustelidae
Description: lncRNA (ENSMPUG00000025255.1)
Source: RNAcentral
AAGGAAAUGUGUGAACUGUCAAUGAUCAGGAAGUGCUUGGGGAAAAGAUACUUCUCAAGAUUUCCUGUCCUUCAGGAAGGAUCAGCACAAGCAUGUGAACAGGCAUGUCACUCUCUGCCUCCCAGCCUGAGGGAAAUGAUGUAUAUAACCUGGCACUUUCAACCUGGUAAGAAGACAGUUUCUUCUCAUGUUCAUCUCGUGUGUGUGUGUGUGUGUGUGUGUGUAAACUCCUUGACUACACGUAUGAAUGAAACCAACCUCAACCCCCAUCUGUCCUGUCAAAAAGGCUGGGAUGCCCACAGGUUGGACUGAGGCAACAGAUCUAUGCCGCCAUGCAGUAAUAUUAUGGAAAUAAAGGUAAUCCACAGCUACUACCCUCCUGUGUAUGUCCCUCAUUUUUUAAAUGAGAAACAAUAAGAAAGUCUCGUUUAAAUGUUGGCUGUAAUUUUUAAGCUUUAUGGAGCCAGCCCUAAUAGGCCACCAUUUGCUUCUUUGUCUUGCAUAUGAAGUCGUGAUUCAUCUGCAUGCAAUUCUGCCUUGUUUGUUAUAAUGUUGCCAUGACAACAUUUUUUCCUUUCAAGUAGCAAGUAAAUUGUGGAAGAGAGCAUACAAACAGCAUGCUCCUAUAGGUAAAUACUUCAUUGCUAUCUACACAAACAUUUCAUUCAUUG